CAGCAGCGAGCGGCCAUUAUCCUUGGCGAGCUGCGUCGUCAGCCUGCGAUAAACGGCCUCCCUCCUUACAUAUUUAUACUAGUCACAGCGCUGAAAAAACACUGGUAGCUUUACCGUGUAUCAAAUGGAAUUGAAAGCAGGACAGUGUGCUAUACCCAAACCUAGCAGAUCAGAGCAAAGUAUAGUAAUAAUAAAAGAAGCUGAGAACAAAAAGCUUGUCAUAAAUGAAGCAUGCAGACUAAUGGGUACAUCUUUGGAGCUCUCGUGUAGACGAUAUGGUUCAAUCAUCUCUUCAAAGAAUUUCCAACUACAACAACAUGAAAGGUUUGCUAACUUAUUUCGUGAAGUCUAUUCUUUGUGGACUCAUUACAUAAAAUGUUCUCCAAUAAACAACAAAUUCAAAUGAAAUAUAUUUUCUUUACUGGAUAUAGAAAACAUAUAUGUGUACAGAAUGAAAGCUGAUGGUAAUUCUCUAACCAUUGAUGCCACUUUUAAGUUAUGCUUCAGAAAUACCCUAUGACACAGGCGUCCAACACACGGCCCACUGGACAUCAAGGUGUAGCCCGCAUGAGAUCUGCAGCGGUACCACCACCUCCAAUUGCCCUCGAUGAGAUAGACUGAAGCAUGUUCCGGGAGUAGGGAUAAAAAAAAACUAAAUCUUGUGGAAAGCCUUCCCAGAAAAAUGGAAGCUGUUACAGUUGCAAAGGUGGGACCAACUACAUAUUGAUGUCUUUUUAUUUAGAAUGCGAUGUCAUAAAAGUCUGUUGGUGUAAUGGCCAGGUCUCCAAAUACUUUUGUC
Long non-coding RNA from Spea bombifrons (plains spadefoot toad), 799 nucleotides. RefSeq lists it as uncharacterized. The transcript is spliced from 3 exons. The record is from RefSeq and is a predicted model, not a curated record. NCBI's taxonomy places the organism in Eukaryota, Metazoa, Chordata, Amphibia, Anura, Pelobatidae.